AGUGUGAGGAGGUACCCACCUUACUUCUAGCACAGCACCUGCCCAUUGUCCUAUAUCGGAGGUUCCUAGAGAAAUGAAAGAAAAUUGCAAAGUUUAAUUGGAAAUCUGUUGGAAUUGGUACAGGAAGAAUCCAAAAAUAGACUUCACACUCAUGUAUAUCAGGCUUUAUACCCUUCUUGGAAAGGCUACUGUCCCUGUUGUCACCCUCCAGAACCAUCUAGAAGCACCUGAUCCUCACUGCAAUUGCUGAAAGACCACAUCAACUCAAGUGAGUCACCAGUUAAGACCCACGUUAUCCUUUUGUUGUCAUUGUUGUUAUCUAAAGGGCCUUGUUGCUUCACGCAAUCAGUCAGUCAGAGUCUGGUAUAGGACUCUUAGGAAAAUGUAGUCAAG
Molecule: long non-coding RNA, 393 nt
Filed under: Rhinolophus ferrumequinum (greater horseshoe bat)
Lineage: Eukaryota; Metazoa; Chordata; Mammalia; Chiroptera; Rhinolophidae
Description: lncRNA (ENSRFEG00010014938.1)
Source: RNAcentral